CUGGCGGCAUGCUUAACACAUGCAAGUCGCACGAUCGGGGGUAACCGUCGGUAGUGGCGGACGGGUGAGUAACGCGUAGGUAUCUGUCCAUGGGUGGGGGAGUAACAGUGGGAAACUGCUGCUAAUACCGCAUGAUGACUGAGGUCCAAAGGCGCAAGUCGCCUGUGGAGGAGCCUGCGUACGAUUAGGUAGUUGGUGGGGUAAAGGCUCACCAAGCCAACGAUCUGUAGCUGGUCUGAGAGGACGACCAGCCACACUGGGACUGAGACACGGCCCAGACUCCUACGGGAGGCAGCAGUGGGGAAUUUUGGACAAUGGGCGCAAGCCUGAUCCAGCGAUGCCGCGUGCAGGAAGAAGGCCUUCGGGUUGUAAACUGCUUUUUGUACGGAACGAAAAGGCUCUGGUUAAUACCUGGGGCACAUGACGGUACCGUAAGAAUAAGCACCGGCUAACUACGUG
This 459-nucleotide ribosomal RNA is filed under the name uncultured bacterium. RNAcentral's name for it is "bacterial SSU rRNA". It matches the Rfam family "Bacterial small subunit ribosomal RNA", at positions 36 to 507 of the family's 1533-position model. The record is from RNAcentral.